UACAGAGGGUGCGAGCGUUAAUCGGAAUUACUGGGCGUAAAGCGCGCGUAGGCGGCUUUGUAAGCCAGAUGUGAAAUCCCCGGGCUUAACCUGGGAAUGGCAUUUGGGACUGCAAGGCUGGAGUGUGGCAGAGGAGACUGGAAUUCCCGGUGUAGCAGUGAAAUGCGUAGAUAUCGGGAGGAAUACCGAUGGCGAAGGCAGGUCUCUGGGCUGACACUGACGCUCAUGCACGAAAGCGUGGGGAGCAAACAGG
Molecule: ribosomal RNA, 253 nt
Filed under: uncultured bacterium
Lineage: Bacteria
Description: partial 16S ribosomal RNA
Rfam family: Bacterial small subunit ribosomal RNA
Source: RNAcentral